Molecule: ribosomal RNA, 462 nt
Filed under: Streptococcus sp. oral taxon C56
Lineage: Bacteria; Bacillati; Bacillota; Bacilli; Lactobacillales; Streptococcaceae
Description: bacterial SSU rRNA
Rfam family: Bacterial small subunit ribosomal RNA
Source: RNAcentral
GACGAACGCUGGCGGCGUGCCUAAUACAUGCAAGUAGAACGCUGAAGGAGGAGCUUGCUCUUCUGGAUGAGUUGCGAACGGGUGAGUAACGCGUAGGUAACCUGCCUGGUAGUGGGGGAUAACUAUUGGAAACGAUAGCUAAUACCGCAUAAUAACAGUUGUUGCAUGACAACUGUUUGAAAGGUGCAAUUGCAUCACUACCAGAUGGACCUGCGUUGUAUUAGCUAGUUGGUGGGGUAACGGCUCACCAAGGCGACGAUACAUAGCCGACCUGAGAGGGUGAUCGGCCACACUGGGACUGAGACACGGCCCAGACUCCUACGGGAGGCAGCAGUAGGGAAUCUUCGGCAAUGGACGAAAGUCUGACCGAGCAACGCCGCGUGAGUGAAGAAGGUUUUCGGAUCGUAAAGCUCUGUUGUAAGAGAAGAACGAGUGUGAGAGUGGAAAGUUCACACUGUGACG